AACCAUUCUCACCUGCGGCUAGACCUGCGGAAGGAUCAUUACAGAGUUAUCCAACUCCCAAACCCAUGUGAACUUAUCUCUUUGUUGCCUCGGCGCAAGCUACCCGGGACCCCGCGCCCCGGGCGGCCCGCCGGCGGACAAACCAAAACUCUUGUUAUCUUAGUUGAUUCUCUGAGCGUCUUAUUUAAUAAGUCAAAACUUUUAACAACGGAUCU
Molecule: unclassified non-coding RNA, 215 nt
Filed under: soil metagenome
Description: partial contains 5.8S ribosomal RNA, internal transcribed spacer 2, and large subunit ribosomal RNA
Source: RNAcentral